Molecule: long non-coding RNA, 456 nt
Organism: Carassius carassius (crucian carp)
Lineage: Eukaryota; Metazoa; Chordata; Actinopteri; Cypriniformes; Cyprinidae
Exons: 3
Source: RefSeq, a predicted model, not a curated record
AAGCAGCAACAGAGAAUGGGGCGUUUUUAGCUCUCAAACACACUGGCUUCCUCUCCCACAGGAAAACAUCUCAUGCCGACAGAGGAGAGAAAUAUUUACCCCCGUUUUUGAGGGAAAGUCAAGAAAAUGCAAGAAGGAACAGCUCAUAUGAGUGGACCCCGCUCCUGGAGGCUCUGGAGGAGUCUCAGCAGUAAAGGGUUGGUCGGGAGCUCAUGCACUGAUCCUGGAACAGCAGAUCUGCACUCCGGACAGCACAUCUGAUAAGGGUGUGAAGCCUCGUGCUGCUGGAGGCAUGGCAUACAGAAGGUGUGCUGGCACGAUCUGACGAGCCGCGGAGUGACGUCACGUCGUCUACCUGCGACACGAAAACAGCUUCGCAGCGAAACCGAGGUUAUAGCCUUGGUAUAAAACUGAACAUUGUACUCAUUUACAGUUAAAUAUUCACAUACCUGCUGA